GGCAGCAGUCUGUAAUAAUUAAGUGCAUCUUUACUUUUCUUUACAGCAUCUGCGCAUUCAUUGUCCCACCAUGGAACUGGUUUUUUAUCAAUGUAUUGGGAUAUAAUUGAACAAAGUCCAGUUUGCUUUUUUGUACAAAUAAGGAUCAGAGGGAUUAUUAACUUCAUAUUUUUCUGCAUUUAGGUAAAUGUCACAAAUAGUGGGAUAGUGGUAGCUGCCCAUUGGGUCAUCAUGUACUCUCCAAUGGCAGAAAGGGGCUAUAGAUGGAGUGACGCAAGCAAUGUCUAUAGCUGACUGGUUAUGGGAUAUAUUCCCUUCAGUAGUGUAGGCCCCUGUAUUAAGAAUACAUAAGUUACAUUCAUCUAAUAAAUUAUAUACAUCAUUGCCUCUUGAGUUAGUGGAGCGACAUCCAAAUGCUACAAGAUGAGCAUUCAAAUCACCUGGCUAGUAAGUAACAUUGGCGUUGGUAAAUCAUCGAUUAUUUGCUUCAGUCUCCUACACUUAAAUCUACUCCCUUGAGGACGGCUAUAUGCACAGAGAAUUGAUAAUUGACCAGUCUGUUUUUGAAAUUAUUGCCACAGAUUGUAAGAAAUCAUAAAAAUUUGUGGGUAAUAUUUGGAAUUUAAAUGUAUUUUUUAUUAGUGUGGCAACUCCUCCACGUCCAUUAACACCAUUCUGAUUUAUCAUAUUGUAGUCGGGAAUCCUAAAUCUAUUUCCAUCCUCCAGCCAAGUUUCGUUCAAUAAACAUGUAUCUAUAUCAUUUUCUAGAAGAUUGCUAAUCAAUAAGGGUUUUUUUAUAGUGAAACUCUGUACAUUGUAUUGUGAAAUUCUAAUAAAUUUUUUAUCCAUU
This is a long non-coding RNA of Danaus plexippus (monarch butterfly), 850 nucleotides long. RefSeq lists it as uncharacterized. Lineage: Eukaryota; Metazoa; Arthropoda; Insecta; Lepidoptera; Nymphalidae. The transcript is spliced from 2 exons. The record is from RefSeq and is a predicted model, not a curated record.